AUUCCACGCGGACGGAGUCGCGGGCGAAAGCUAGUUGCAUUAUAAUGAUAAUAUUAUUUAUGUAUUAACUUACUAAACCAUAGUAAUACAAAAUAGGUUCGUCGCUGUCGUCACAGAGUGUUGGAGUACAUAAUGUUAUAAAGAGAAAUAUCUGAAAUGUCGACAUGACCAACGCUGGGCAACGCUGGCGCACUGUCGUUAUAAUACUCACAUAGUGUGCUCAGUUCAAAUGGGUCGCGACCUGAAUCGAUAAGAUACCGCAAUACGAGUUGUUCUCGGCAAAUCGCUUUUAUUUAUUUUCUUACGUUACUCAACGAGCAAGAAUGUUCAGUUGAAGAAACAGUUACUAGGUAUCCGUAAGAGUGGUGAGAACAUGUCGACAUUCCUGAGCUGCCUGGAGACGGAGCGCGACCUGCUCGUCGACUACUGGACCUCCGUCGAGGGUCAGGAGCUGCUGAGAGCGGACCACGCCAACGUGUAACGUGGGAACUUGACACGUCGACGACUUAGCGAAUCUUAUAUCUGUUCUCUCGAUUAAUUUACUUUAUGAAAUGUCUUUUAUGAAUGAAAUAUUUAAACUUAUAUUUGGACUAAAUUAAUACAGCUGUAUCAUCAUGAUAGUUAAAUGUUACCGUUUUUUAUCUGUGUCACUUGUCAGUAUCGGUUUGGCUUCACUGCGCACGCUUCAUACAAUAUGUAAAUCUUCAAUCGUCAAACAGACAAUAAAUGUAAUAUGGUGUUUUCGGCUUUAAAAAUAUUAUUUACAUUUCUCAAAUAUAAUUUAAUUGCAAUUAAAGUAUAAAUAUAUAAUCAUGUUCUGCAAUUUGAAAAAUUAUAUUUUGUCAUAAUUGGAUAAAUCAUUGAAAUAAUCAUGUAAGUAAACAAUGUGACCUUAUUCUGGUUGUAUCGGCAAAGCUGUCGACACUAAUACUAUACUAAGAGAAAAGAAAUCAAUAUUUCUUGUUAGCUUUUAACCGGUUUUAUUUUUGUCAACUUUAAAUGGUCCAUUUAAAGAACUUUUAAUCACUGAUUAAUGAUUUUAUUAAAAUAUCUGAUUUUUUAAUUGGUACUAUUUUAACCGAUAUCGCUGUUUGAAUGAAUUUAUUAUAUUUGGAUGUUUGGGUUAGUUAUAAAUCUAGAAAGUUAGUUUCUAAUUUUUUUUUAUCAAAUAACUAUUGAGUUUCCUUUUUAUCGAAAAUUGAGACUAAUUUAUUAUUAUAAACGAUUGUUUGUUUUAGACAUAAAAUUAAUAGAGAACUUGAAACUCGGAAGUGGUUUUGUAUGUUUGAACUGGGACUUAGUUUUAAGAUUUAGAUUAUGUUCAUGUUACGUUGUAGAUGAAAUUGUUUAUUUGUUUUAGAUGUUAAUGUUUAUGAGUUUAUACUACAUUAAUGUUAGUGUCAUAGAUUUAUAACCUAUAUAUAUGUUGGUGCCACCGCCCAAAGUUGAGGUAAAAAAAUUAUUUUGUUCGAGUAAAUUCCAUCAGUGUUGUCAUUUAUGAUACAAUGUGUCAUUUCGAAAAUUGACUCUUUUCGACGUCAAACUAAACUGUCCAUUUAUAGGUUAUAUGUCUAUGGUUAGUGUAUAUUAUUCAGCCAAAGUUCUGUAUUCAAUGUUACAUUGUUUUUAAACCAUAACGUCACAUAACGUUUAGUGCAAUCCAUUCCUUUUGUGUACGAAAUCGAUAAAAUCUUCAUACAUAUUAUAAAUUAACUUUCUUAGGUUUAAUGAAUUUUGUUUAACUAUAGUUACAUUUAAGUGUAGCGUUAAUUUAUUUCUUUUUCUGUUUCUUGGAAAAUAAAGUGCCUUGCGUAAUUAUAAUA
Molecule: long non-coding RNA, 1823 nt
Organism: Papilio polytes (common Mormon)
Lineage: Eukaryota; Metazoa; Arthropoda; Insecta; Lepidoptera; Papilionidae
Exons: 2
Source: RefSeq, a predicted model, not a curated record